RNAcentral lists this ribosomal RNA (274 nucleotides) under uncultured bacterium. RNAcentral describes it as "partial 16S ribosomal RNA". It matches the Rfam family "Bacterial small subunit ribosomal RNA", at positions 523 to 796 of the family's 1533-position model. The record is from RNAcentral.
AUACGGAUGGUGCGAGCGUUGUUCGGAAUUACUGGGCGUAAAGGGCGCGUAGGCGGCGAUGUAAGUCAAAUGUGAAAGUCCUCGGCUUAACCGGGGAAGUGCAUCUGAAACUGCAUUGCUUGAGUAUGGGAGAGGAAAGUGGAAUUCCCGGUGUAGAGGUGAAAUUCGUAGAGAUCAGGAGGAAUACCGGUGGCGAAGGCGACUUUCUGGACCAAUACUGACGCUCAGGCGCGAAAGCGUGGGGAGCAAACAGGAUUAGAUACCCUAGUAGUCC